AUGAACGCUGGCGGCGUGCCUAACACAUGCAAGUCGAGCGAGAUUUAUGCAAGUGGAGACUUCGGUCAAAGCGAACAUAAUGAAAGCGGCGGACGGGUGAGUAACGCGUGAGCAAUCUGCCCCAUACAAAGGGAUACCCACUGGAAACGGUGAUUAAUACCUUAUAAGACCACGAAGUCGCAUGACUACGGGGUCAAAGAUUUAUCGGUAUGGGAUGAGCUCGCGUCUGAUUAGCUAGUUGGUGAGGUAAUGGCUCACCAAGGCGACGAUCAGUAGCCGACCUGAGAGGGUGAACGGCCACACUGGAACUGAGACACGGUCCAGACUCCUACGGGAGGCAGCAGUGGGGAAUAUUGCACAAUGGGCGCAAGCCUGAUGCAGCAACGCCGCGUGAAUGAUGAAGGCCUUCGGGUCGUAAAGUUCUGUCCAAAGGGAAGAAUACAGUGACGGUACCUUUGGAGGAAGCCCCGGCUAACUACGU
RNAcentral lists this ribosomal RNA (481 nucleotides) under uncultured bacterium. RNAcentral describes it as "bacterial SSU rRNA". It matches the Rfam family "Bacterial small subunit ribosomal RNA", at positions 29 to 506 of the family's 1533-position model. The record is from RNAcentral.